UGGCACUUCCCCUCCGCAGCACUUGCCGAGUUUGAUAGGCACUGCAGACUGGAAGUGCCAUUCUUUCUUGGCUUGAAGGGGUUGGGGGAAGUUCCCCCAACCCCUUAAAGCCAAGAAAGAACACU
This is a non-coding RNA of Heteronotia binoei (common prickly gecko), 125 nucleotides long. RefSeq annotates it as small Cajal body-specific RNA 11. The transcript has a single exon. NCBI's taxonomy places the organism in Eukaryota, Metazoa, Chordata, Lepidosauria, Squamata, Gekkonidae. The record is from RefSeq and is a predicted model, not a curated record.